GUAGAGAGAAGAGAAGGUAAGACUUCUCAAUGAAUGAAAAAGGGUGUCUUGAUGAUCAAGAAUCUCCCCCCCCCCCCCAAAGUACGGGUAAUUCAACCUGCACAGUUUCCUUUCACUCGUAGUUUAACAAUUAUGAGUGAAAAAUCAUGUAAUUAUCUGUAAAUAUGUAGCUAACAAAUUGACCUAGUUUCUGUACUAGUUUCUGGUUUUGUACUAAAGUUUAUAGGUCUGUGCCAGCUAGAGAGGAGUUGCUGCCAUUGCUAGUUGUGCUUCUGGCAUAUAACCCUGAGACCAUCCUAGGUGACAUUUUAGAAUUAAUGCCUAAAUGUUGUUAAAUGGGGAAAUGGAGCUUAAUCAUUGGUCAGGUUUGAAAUCUUUUGAAGCUAAGUAAUUUUAUUUAAUAUGAUUACAUGUCGUCAGUCAUGAGUGAGGUGUAGGGAGUCUUCCUCCCCCAGUGGCCAUGUUUACAGAGUGUUGUCUAUAAAGUGCAAGUGUGUUAAUGUUUAUGUAAAUUAUGCAGGUGAUAACUUUAUGGUUUGGGACUGUUCAUGGGCUCUUUUAACUGCAUUUUCAAAUGAAAUGAACUUUGCUUAUUGCUGGCACAUUGAUCCCAUUUCUGGAACAUUUCCUACUUCCAGAAUUCCGUAUGUUCCUCAGACAUUACCCCCACGUAACCUCCCUUCCUCUGAUAUGCCUUGUAGCUAAGAUUUAAAAGACUGUUGAACAUAGAUGAGGGGAGUGCAUUUCUUAAAAAUCCAUGAACCCUCAAUUGUAUGCUUUCAGUAUUGUGUUAUAUGUUUCUAUGGCAACUUUGAAGUCAGUGGUUUAGAAAUGAGGUACCAAUGUUAAUGAAAAGUAUGUACUCUUUGCUUUUGCAUGGCUUGGCUUAGUAUCCAAGGUAUAUUAGAGCCACUGGAAAGCAUGAAGACCAGUUAUAUGGAAACAGGUUUCUCUCAGUGGCACAUUUUGCUUUUUCUUAGCCCUCAAAUACAUUGCCUCGGCAUGAACAUUAUUGUUAAUAUAAAUUGCACAUGGUCAUCGAGCGAAUUAUAAAAUUUUGAAAAGAUGCAGCUGCCCAAUAUUUACAGUCUCUAUCUCAAGUAACAGCGUAGGUAUUGGAACCCUUCUAGCCCUUCUUGGGGUCAAACAGGUAUGUCGGUUAUCAAGGCAUUGGCUACCCCUGGGGUAUUGCCACGCUGUUGUCUUUUGCUGCCUGUUCAUUCCACAUGUGCUGUUCCUUGCACUUCAUACUCUUCCAAGAAACUAUCACCCUUUCUUCCUAUUUUAUUUGUCGUUUAUUUCACAAUAAAUGGGAAUUGUGCCUAUUUAGAUCGCCCCUCCAGUUAAGUACACAUGUAAUCCAAGCCAGAGACAAGAUGGAAAAACUUUUUUUUUUUUCAAAUUCACUUGGCCAGUAAUUUAUCUAACAAACGUUUUACCACAUUAUCUUGACACUUGAUAGAAGAGCCUAUUAGGAGUCACAGUGGUUUGUUUCAUAGAGUAAAACCCAAGUGAGGAGGGAUGUGUGGGGUUUCCAUCGGAAAAUAAUUUUGUUCUUGGUUUACUCUUUAUGAUUCUUCUCUGCUAGUUUAGAAUAGGUUAAUUUUUUUAUUUUUUUUUUUUUUAGGGAAAUUUUUACAAAAAUAAUGGUCUGAUGUAAAUACCAUUUUAAAGUACAGUGCACAUAACUCCCUAGGCUAUUCCAACCUACUUGUAAAUGCUUUAGAGUUUUUAAAUUAACACUUCUGUUGCUAAAUACUAUUUAUGUAAGUCUGAAAAGGUUUUUAACCCAUAUAAAACAUUUAAAUGAUGCAGGUUGUUAUGAGCAAGUUAGCUUUGAGAACCCCUCUUUAGUGUAUGAAAAAAGCCUAACAUGCAUUAGUGAGGUUGGAGAGACUAUGAGAAAUAUGUAUAGUGUAUAUUUUAAACAGCUUUGCUUGUAUUGUGAAGAUUUAAGAACAAACUUGAGAUUUUUAAAGUUAACUAUUAACACAGUUUUAACAUAAGUUAUCCCACUGGGUUUGAAAGCAUCUUGAAUGUAUAACCCUUCUGUAACCCAGGUUGGUCUUUGCUUUUACUGAACCACCAAACGUUAUUUAUAUUUUUAGUUUUAUGUACUCAUUUCUUUUUGUUUUCCUCAAACAGCAUGUUGUUGUUGUUGGGGUUUUUUGUUUUUGUUUUGAUUUUUUUUUUUUGCACAUAUAGAAAUUUUUUAAAAGAAGGAAAUUAAUACAUGGUUUUUCUCUAGAUUUUCUUCACUUCAGUCUUUGUACUAACCUCUUAAAAGCCAUGGCAUUCCAUUGCUUUAUUUGUGCAAAUGCCAGGGGUGGUUUUUAUUUUUAUUUUUGCUAUUUACCUAGAGAGAGAGAGAGAGAGAGAGAGAGAGAGAGAGAGAGAGACAAUGCUUCAGUCAAUUGCUUUUUUAUUUAAAAUUUAAAGGAAAAAAAAAGAAAAAAAAAAGCUGUAACCUUAUCAUUUCUGAGUAGACCAUUGAGAGAAAUGCACACCUGUCAGCCCAGGACCAGCUUUGGUGGCUAAAGGGAAUAUUUUAACUUCACAAGAUAAGAUGUUCUGUACAAAAUGUGGUAUAUGUUAUCCACAGUCUGUUUCAGUUAUUCCCAUAAGUCAGGUCCAGAUAAAUGAGGGUUAUCAGCUAACUGAUAUGUUAUCAUUGAGGUUCGUCAAUGAAUUUGUACAUUUCUAGUUCCCUUUGGUGAAGGGAAAAAUGAUGAUUUUGCAAGACCUAGAUUUUGGCUUGGUUUCUUGCCUCCUUUUUUGGCAGCCUUCAUCUUUUCCUAAAGCCCUUGAGCCUGUAGGGUUUUCAUAGUGGACAAAGGACUUAAAUGGUCUUUUAAAACUGGGAUAGUUUUUGGGGAAAGGGCAAGAGAUUAUCAUAUUGAACAUAUAGUAUCCUAAUACUUUUAACAGUGGAUAAUUUUGAGUAAACCCAGUCCUUUCAAUUUUUAGAUUAAACAUGCCCACAGUGGAGGCUUACCAAAGGUUGCAAUGAGGAGGAAGCCUCUCCCUCUCUGUCAGCCCAGCUGGUAAAGGGGACUGUGCAGAUGUGCAUUUUCCUUUCGGUAGAAAUGGUCCGCAGCACUAACUGGUAAGGAUUAUUGUACAGUAUAUUGUCAGUAUUCUUCUGGUUCAGCAUACCUUAUAGUUCGUAUAUAACCUGUAUUAAUUGUAUAGAUUGUGCAUUUAAAGCUGUUACCAAGUUGUCAGAACCUUAAGAACGAAAACAGGUCAUAUGUAAUAUUUUGUUUGUAAGUAUCCUUUGUAUCAUAGCAAAGGAAAUGUUUAAAAGAUCAACUGUAAUAAAAGUAAUUUUAGUAC
RNAcentral lists this long non-coding RNA (3336 nucleotides) under Rattus norvegicus (Norway rat). Its description in RNAcentral is "long non-coding RNA NONRATT004565". The record is from RNAcentral. Lineage: Eukaryota; Metazoa; Chordata; Mammalia; Rodentia; Muridae.